This 690-nucleotide ribosomal RNA is filed under the name uncultured Bacteroidales bacterium. RNAcentral's name for it is "bacterial SSU rRNA". It matches the Rfam family "Bacterial small subunit ribosomal RNA", at positions 32 to 715 of the family's 1533-position model. The record is from RNAcentral. Lineage: Bacteria; Pseudomonadati; Bacteroidota; Bacteroidia; Bacteroidales.
AACGCUAGCUACAGGCUUAACACAUGCAAGUCGAGGGGCAGCACAGUGUAGCAAUACACGGGUGGCGACCGGCGCACGGGUGCGUAACGCGUAUCCAACCUUCCCGUUACUCUUGGAUAGCCUUCCGAAAGGGAGAUUAAUACAAGAUGGUAUUCAAAUUCCGCAUGUUAUUUGAAUUAAAGAUUUAUCGGUAACGGAUGGGGAUGCGUGACAUUAGGUAGAUGGCGGGGUAACGGCCCACCAUGCCUACGAUGUCUAGGGGUUCUGAGAGGAAGGUCCCCCACACUGGAACUGAGACACGGUCCAGACUCCUACGGGAGGCAGCAGUGAGGAAUAUUGGUCAAUGGUCGGAAGACUGAACCAGCCAAGUAGCGUGAAGGAUGAAGGUUCUAUGGAUUGUAAACUUCUUUUAUAUAGGAAUAAAACCUCCUACGUGUAGGAGCUUGUAUGUACUAUAUGAAUAAGCAUCGGCUAACUCCGUGCCAGCAGCCGCGGUAAUACGGAGGAUGCGAGCGUUAUCCGGAUUUAUUGGGUUUAAAGGGAGCGUAGACGGGAGAUUAAGUCAGUUGUGAAAGGCUGCGGCUCAACCGCAGCACUGCAGUUGAUACUGGUUUCCUUGAGUGCGGUUGAGGUAUGUGGAAUUCGUGGUGUAGCGGUGAAACGCUUAGAUAUCACGAAGAACUCCGAUUG